This 147-nucleotide ribosomal RNA is filed under the name uncultured bacterium. RNAcentral describes it as "partial 16S ribosomal RNA". It matches the Rfam family "Bacterial small subunit ribosomal RNA", at positions 372 to 509 of the family's 1533-position model. The record is from RNAcentral.
UGGAACGAAAGUCUGAUGGAGCAACGCCGCGUGAGUGAAGAAGGGUUUCGGCUCGUAAAGCUCUGUUGGUAGUGAAAGAAAGAUAGAGGUAGUAACUGGCCUUUAUUUGACGGUAAUUACUUAGAAAGUCACGGCUAACUACGUGCC